GAAAGCCUGAUGCAGCCAUGCCGCGUGUAUGAAGAAGGCCUUCGGGUUGUAAAGUACUUUCAGUUGUGAGGAAGGGGGUAACGUUAAUAGCGUUAUCUCUUGACGUUAGCAACAGAAGAAGCACCGGCUAACUCCGUGCCAGCAGCCGCGGUAAUACGGAGGGUGCGAGCGUUAAUCGGAAUUACUGGGCGUAAAGCGCAUGCAGGUGGUUCAUUAAGUCAGAUGUGAAAGCCCGGGGCUCAACCUCGGAACUGCAUUUGAAACUGGUGAACUAGAGUGCUGUAGAGGGGGGUAGAAUUUCAGGUGUAGCGGUGAAAUGCGUAGAGAUCUGAAGGAAUACCAGUGGCGAAGGCGGCCCCCUGGACAGACACUGACACUCAGAUGCGAAAGCGUGGGGAGCAAACAGGAUUAGAUACCCUGGUAGUCCACGCCGUAAACGAUGUCUACUUGGAGGUUGUGGCCUUGAGCCGUGGCUUUCGGAGCUAACGCGUUAAGUAGACCGCCUGGGGAGUACGGUCGCAAGAUUAAAACUCAAAUGAAUUGACGGGGGCCCGCACAAGCGGUGGAGCAUGUGGUUUAAUUCGAUGCAACGCGAAGAACCUUACCUACUCUUGACAUCCAGAGAAGCCAGCGGAGACGCAGGUGUGCC
Molecule: ribosomal RNA, 649 nt
Filed under: Vibrio splendidus
Lineage: Bacteria; Pseudomonadati; Pseudomonadota; Gammaproteobacteria; Vibrionales; Vibrionaceae
Description: bacterial SSU rRNA
Rfam family: Bacterial small subunit ribosomal RNA
Source: RNAcentral